UGGGGAAUAUUGGGCAAUGGGCGCAAGCCUGACCCAGCAACGCCGCGUGAAGGAAGAAGGCUUUCGGGUUGUAAACUUCUUUUGUCGGGGACGAAACAAAUGACGGUACCUGACGAAUAAGCCACGGCUAACUACGUGCCAGCAACCGCGGUAAUACGUAGGUGGCAAGCGUUAUCCGGAUUUACUGGGUGUAAAGGGCGUGUAGGCGGGAUUGCAAGUCAGAUGUGAAAACUGGGGGCUCAACCUCCAGCCUGCAUUUGAAACUGUAGUUCUUGAGUGCUGGAGAGGCAAUCGGAAUUCCGUGUGUAGCGGUGAAAUGCGUAGAUAUACGGAGGAACACCAGUGGCGAAGGCGGAUUGCUGGACAGUAACUGACGCUGAGGCGCGAAAGCGUGGGGAGCAAACAGGAUUAGAUACCC
RNAcentral lists this ribosomal RNA (418 nucleotides) under uncultured bacterium. RNAcentral's name for it is "bacterial SSU rRNA". It matches the Rfam family "Bacterial small subunit ribosomal RNA", at positions 355 to 787 of the family's 1533-position model. The record is from RNAcentral.